RNAcentral lists this long non-coding RNA (263 nucleotides) under Zostera marina. RNAcentral describes it as "long non-coding RNA (ZMAR_LNC004855)". The record is from RNAcentral. Lineage: Eukaryota; Viridiplantae; Streptophyta; Magnoliopsida; Alismatales; Zosteraceae.
GGGAGGCCUUAUUUGGUCUACUGACCUUACUGCCCUAAGGCUUUUUUCCUUACAGAAUUUCCUUACUUUUUUCCCUGUCUUCACAGAAUUUCCUUACUUUUUUCCCUGUCUUCACAGAAUUUCCUUACUUUUUUCCCUGUGAACUGCGUUUCAUUAUUGGUUACUUUUGCCCUAAGGCUUUUUCAUUUUGGCGGGAGGUCUUAUUUGGUCUUCUGACCUUACUGCCCUAAGGCUUUCUUCCUUACAGAAUUUCCUUACUUUUU